RNAcentral lists this ribosomal RNA (650 nucleotides) under uncultured bacterium. RNAcentral describes it as "bacterial SSU rRNA". It matches the Rfam family "Bacterial small subunit ribosomal RNA", at positions 57 to 706 of the family's 1533-position model. The record is from RNAcentral.
GCAGUCGACGGUAACAGGCCGCAAGGUGCUGACGAGUGGCGAACGGGUGAGUAAUGCAUCGGAACGUGCCCAGUCGUGGGGGAUAACGCAGCGAAAGCUGCGCUAAUACCGCAUACGAUCUAUGGAUGAAAGCGGGGGACCAUAAGGCCUCGCGCGAUUGGAGCGGCCGAUGUCAGAUUAGGUAGUUGGUGGGGUAAAGGCUCACCAAGCCAACGAUCUGUAGCUGGUCUGAGAGGACGACCAGCCACACUGGGACUGAGACACGGCCCAGACUCCUACGGGAGGCAGCAGUGGGGAAUUUUGGACAAUGGGCGCAAGCCUGAUCCAGCAAUGCCGCGUGCAGGAAGAAGGCCUUCGGGUUGUAAACUGCUUUUGUACGGAACGAAACGGUCUGGGUUAAUACCUCGGGCUAAUGACGGUACCGUAAGAAUAAGCACCGGCUAACUACGUGCCAGCAGCCGCGGUAAUACGUAGGGUGCAAGCGUUAAUCGGAAUUACUGGGCGUAAAGCGUGCGCAGGCGGUUUUGUAAGACAGGCGUGAAAUCCCCGGGCUCAACCUGGGAAUGGCGCUUGUGACUGCAAGGCUGGAGUGCGGCAGAGGGGGAUGGAAUUCCGCGUGUAGCAGUGAAAUGCGUAGAUAUGCGGAGGAA